RNAcentral lists this ribosomal RNA (616 nucleotides) under uncultured bacterium. RNAcentral describes it as "bacterial SSU rRNA". It matches the Rfam family "Bacterial small subunit ribosomal RNA", at positions 188 to 823 of the family's 1533-position model. The record is from RNAcentral.
GCAUGGUGCAGAGGUAAAAACUCCGGUGGUAUGAGAUGGACCCGCGUCUGAUUAGGUAGUUGGUGGGGUAACGGCCUACCAAGCCGACGAUCAGUAGCCGACCUGAGAGGGUGACCGGCCACAUUGGGACUGAGACACGGCCCAAACUCCUACGGGAGGCAGCAGUGGGGAAUAUUGCACAAUGGGGGAAACCCUGAUGCAGCGACGCCGCGUGAGCGAUGAAGUAUUUCGGUAUGUAAAGCUCUAUCAGCAGGGAAGAAAAUGACGGUACCUGACUAAGAAGCACCGGCUAAAUACGUGCCAGCAGCCGCGGUAAUACGUAUGGUGCAAGCGUUAUCCGGAUUUACUGGGUGUAAAGGGAGCGUAGACGGAGUGGCAAGUCUGAUGUGAAAACCCGGGGCUCAACCCCGGGACUGCAUUGGAAACUGUCAAUCUAGAGUACCGGAGAGGUAAGCGGAAUUCCUAGUGUAGCGGUGAAAUGCGUAGAUAUUAGGAGGAACACCAGUGGCGAAGGCGGCUUACCGGACGGUAACUGACGUUGAGGCUCGAAAGCGUGGGGAGCAAACAGGAUUAGAUACCCUGGUAGUCCACGCCGUAAACGAUGACUACUAGGUGU